AGCGAACGCUGGCGGCAGGCCUAACACAUGCAAGUCGAACGAACCUUUCGGGGUUAGUGGCGGACGGGUGAGUAACACGUGGGAACGUGCCUUUAGGUUCGGAAUACCUCAGGGUAACUUGUGUUAAUACCGCAUGUGCUCUUAGGGGGUAAGAUUUAUCGCCGUUAGAGCGGCCCGCGUCUGUUUCGCUAGUUGGUUGAGGUAAUGGCUCACCAAGGCGUCGUUCAGUAGCUGGUCUGUGAGGAUGAUUAGCCACAUUGGGACUGAGACACGGCCCAAACUGCUACGGAAGGCAGCAGUGGAGAAUCUUGCGCAAUGGGCGAAAGCCUGACGCAGCCAUGCGGCGUGAAUGAUGAAGGGCUUAGGAUUGUAAAAUUCUUUCACCGGGGACGAUAAUGACGGUACCCGGAGAAGAAGCCCCGGCUAACUUCGUG
RNAcentral lists this ribosomal RNA (434 nucleotides) under uncultured bacterium. RNAcentral's name for it is "partial 16S ribosomal RNA". It matches the Rfam family "Bacterial small subunit ribosomal RNA", at positions 29 to 507 of the family's 1533-position model. The record is from RNAcentral.